AUAAUAAUUAUUACCAUUAUUAUUAUUACCAUUAUUAUAAUUAUUAUUACCAUUAUUAUUAUUACAUUCCAGUCUAGUGAAGGUAUUAUCCUACUACAGCCAUUAUUACUACUACUAUAAUUAUUAUUACCAUUAUUAUUAUUACAUUCCAGUCUAGUGAAGGUAUUAUCCUACUACAGCCAUUAUUACUACUACUAUAAUUAUUAUUACCAUUAUUAUUAUUACAUUCCAGUCUAGUGAAGGUAUUAUCCUACUACAGCCAUUAUUACUACUACUAUAAUUAUUAUUACCAUUAUUAUUAUUACAUUCCAGUCUAGUGAAGGUAUUACCCUACUACAGCCAUUAUUACUACUACUAUAAUUAUUAUUACCAUUAUUAUUAUUACAUUCCAGUCUAGUGAAGGUAUUACCCUACUACAGCCAUUAUUACUACUACUAUAAUUAUUAUUACCAUUAUUAUUAUUACAUUCCAGUCUAGUGAAGGUAUUACCCUACUACAGCCAUUAUUACCAUUAUUAUAAUUAUUAUUACCAUUAUUAUAAUUAUUAUUACCAUUAUUAUUAUUACAUUCCAGUCUAGUGAAGGUAUUACCCUACUACAGCCAUUAUUACUACUACUAUAAUUAUUAUUACCAUUAUUAUUAUUACAUUCCAGUCCAGUGAAGGUAUUACCCUACUACAGCCAUUAUUACUACUACUAUAAUUAUUAUUACCAUUAUUAUUAUUACAUUCCAGUCUAGUGAAGGUAUUACCCUACUACAGCCAUUAUUACUACUACUAUAAUUAUUAUUACCAUUAUUAUUAUUACAUUCCAGUCUAGUGAAGGUAUUACCCUACUACAGCCAUUAUUACUACUACUAUAAUUAUUAUUACCAUUAUUAUUAUUACAUUCCAGUCUAGUGAAGGUAUUACCCUACUACAGCCAUUAUUACUACUACUAUAAUUAUUAUUACCAUUAUUAUUAUUACAUUCCAGUCUAGUGAAGGUAUUACCCUACUACAGCCAUUAUUACUACUACUAUAAUUAUUAUUACCAUUAUUAUUAUUACAUUCCAGUCUAGUGAAGGUAUUACCCUACUACAGCCAUUAUUAUUAUUACUAUAAUUAUUAUUAUACUAUUAUUACUAUUAUUAUUGUUACUAUUAUUAUUGUUACUAUUAUUAUUGUUACUAUUAUUAUUAUUACUAUUAUUAUUAUUGUUACUAUUAUUAUUAUUACUAUUAUUAUUGUUACUAUUAUUAUUACUAUGACUGUUAUUAUUUGUACUAUUAUUCGUUUUUACUAUUGUUAGUACUAUUAUUAUUAUU
Oncorhynchus keta (chum salmon) is the source of this 1304-nucleotide long non-coding RNA. RefSeq lists it as uncharacterized. Lineage: Eukaryota; Metazoa; Chordata; Actinopteri; Salmoniformes; Salmonidae. The transcript is spliced from 5 exons. The record is from RefSeq and is a predicted model, not a curated record.